GAUGAAGAACGUAGCGAAAUGUGAUAAGUAGUGUGAAUUGCAGAAUUCAGUGAAUCAUCGAAUCUUUGAACGCACAUUGCGCCCUUUGGUAUUCCUUAGGGCAUGCCUGUUCGAGCGUCAUCUAAACCUUCAAGCCCUGCUUGGUGUUGGGUGCCUGUCCCGCCUCCGCGCGUGGACUCACCUCAAAUCCAUUGGCGGCCCCCGCGUCGGCCACGAGCGCAGCAGAAACGCGAACUCGUGAGCCCGUCCGGGCGGCUCCCAGAAGCUAACCCCCAAUUUUUGACCUCGGAUCAGGUAGGGAUACCCGCUGAACUUAAGCAUAUCAAUAAGCGGAGGA
Molecule: unclassified non-coding RNA, 337 nt
Filed under: soil metagenome
Description: partial contains 5.8S ribosomal RNA, internal transcribed spacer 2, and large subunit ribosomal RNA
Rfam family: 5.8S ribosomal RNA (bases 1-120)
Source: RNAcentral